CUCAAACGUCUGCAACUUACUUUAAAUGCACUUUUUUUUUUCCUGUGCAUGUUCUAAGCUUUUGGAGCUAUAAAUGGUUUUUAUUCUUCAAUGUCAAACUGUAUAGAUGGUAAAUGCUUGUAUUUAUAUUUUCAGUAAGAUACAUUUCUGGAAUAGUCUAAGCUGUUGUCACAUUCAUACAGUGCAUGUAGUGUGGUAGGUGACAUAUCUCACUGCGCCUGUGUAAAACUUCAUUCCACUUCUGACAUGCUGGAACCAGUGCCAAUAUAUACACACUGAGAUAAGUGCUGGUGUUGGAGGAACAUAACACACAGGGAACAUCGUUGGACAAGGUAGUUUUCUAGCAAGGAUUAGCAAAUUGUAGUUCUUUUUCUUUUAGUUGAUAAAAGAAUGGCAUUGCUGUUGGUCACAAUCUACUUAUAGCUCUAUGUAAAACACUCACUUUAGCAAACUUUAAAGUAGAUGACAGUCGGUGAAAUAUAUAUCAGUCUUACAAGGUUAUUGGAAUAUUCUCCAUACCAUUGCUUUUUAAUCUAUAUUAGCAAUUUUAUUUAAGGAUAUUGAUCAUAGUGUUAUUAUUGAAAAUAAAAAAAUUAUGCAAUGCAUACCUACAACUAAAUACUUAUUUUGAGUGCAUAUCCCUGCUUAGCCUUGCUCUUUGAGGGCAGCCAUGAUGAAAUGUUCUGUUUGAAUGUCAGAAACCAUCUCAAGCAUGCUUUUGAGAUGCAUUGCACUUGAAAAUGGCAUCAGGAUUUGUGGAAUUGCACUAACUUGGUUACCAGCAUGGCUAUUGGUUGGAUAAGUGGUGCUCCUUACCAAAGAUGAUAUAAAAAUGGCUGCCCCCAUGAAGCAAACGUAAGCCAAAUGAUGCAUUAAAAUAUAUUGACUUAGAAGUAUGUAUUAUGAAAUUAUAAACACAAAGGCUAUCAUAAAUGGGAUCUGAAAUAAUACAAAUUGAUAUCUGUCUGUCUUUUAAAUGGAUUAGACACAAUAACAGGUAGAAAGGCCUGGUCACAUACCAGCUGGCUGUCUGAUGUCCAUUUCUCUAUGCAUGACAGUGGGGCACUUGAUGCAUUGGGUAUUGGAAAUCUAGGAUGUGAUGUAUGCACACACUACACUGAAAACAGCCCCAUCCACAACCACAUAACCAGACUCUCCCCACAUCCUGCAGAUGAGAGUUGGGAGUGCAGGAAUGAGCAGAUCUCAGGAGAAGCUCGCCCACAGAGCGAAACGAAACGUAUUUGUUGAGUAAAGUAAAUGUAGUGAGUUAUUUAUUGGUUAGAAUUAGCAGUUUGAUUUGGAUCCUGAAGGAUACAGGUAGCCAAUAUCAUGAUUGGCACAUGGGGGAGGUCAAGAAAGAACCAAGUGAGGUCUGGAAAGUUGACAUGCCUGUUUGUUGUUAAUAGUAAAUAAAUAUAGCACUGUUUUUUUAAGUGUUUCAUUUCAAAAUAUUUGGUUUUGUUUCUAUUAAAUUAUGUUCUAUGUAUGCAAACUGAAACAAACAGGAAUGGUGUAUGAGGAUUCAAAG
Pelobates cultripes (western spadefoot toad) is the source of this 1528-nucleotide non-coding RNA. The record is from the annotation of a GenBank genome assembly. NCBI's taxonomy places the organism in Eukaryota, Metazoa, Chordata, Amphibia, Anura, Pelobatidae.